Molecule: long non-coding RNA, 3199 nt
Filed under: Homo sapiens (human)
Lineage: Eukaryota; Metazoa; Chordata; Mammalia; Primates; Hominidae
Description: MIR4435-2 host gene
Source: RNAcentral
UACAUCAUUGGGAAUGGAGGGAAAUAAAUGACUGGAUGGUCGCUGCUUUUUAAGUUUCAAAUUGACAUUCCAGACAAGCGGUGCCUGAGCCCGUGCCUGUCUUCAGAUCUUCACAGCACAGUUCCUGGGAAGGUGGAGCCACCAGCCUCUCCCUGACAAGCAAAGUGGAUCAGCAAAGGCUGCAGUCACCAGCAUCUUUUCCAACCUUAAUGAACUGUAUCCUCAAAAGAACACUAUCAGACUGGUAAGACAAGCAUUAUUGUCCCACUUCACAGAUGAAGAGCUUGGGGGCCCUGUGGAUGUGUAGGAGAGUCGGCCUUCCUUUUUAUAGGCCUUUUGCUGAGCUCAGAGGACAGAGCAGAAGACAAAGCCGAAUGCAGCCCUAAGCAGACACUAUCCCAGCCCAAGGAGCUAUGCAGACAGCUCCUGCCUAGAGGAGAAACAAUUCUCUCCUUCAGCCAGGCAUGUGGCACAGAGGUGAACAGGAAAUGCUUAGGGAGACAGUUCACAGAUAUAUAUGUACUUCACAGGGCACAAUUUAAUCCAUAAAUCAAUCAUGGAUCACCGCUAAAGAAAACAAAAUAUGCUGCCACUAAUUUGCCACCACCCUGUGAGCAUGAUUGGAUGAUGUUUAUUUUGAUUAGGAGAUUGCUCCAUUUAUAAAUCUUCAAUACAUCCUGUCCCCCUAAAACGGCAUCUGGGUCUUUUGAGGGUUAAAAAAAAAAAAAAGUGAAAUUGGAUGAGGGAUGAGAGCUGGACUUCUGUGUGUCCCGGGGUCCCUGGAUCCACAGCCUGGUGCCUAGCAUCAGUUAAGCCCACGCUGGGGUCGCAUCACAUCCCGCAAAGCCACGUGCUCUGUGAGGCCAACAGGAGCCCCGCCGGGUGGACCAGCUGGAAUCUCAGAGAGCGCCGACUCUGAAACUACCCGGCUCUGCAGAAGCACGCUGGGCCCAGGGGCUUCUAGACUGACAGCUCCAUUUAUCAACUACCUAUUGGUUUUAAAAAUUGGAGUGUCUUUUCCGCGUUGACUGAUUUUGGCUCUAAGAGAUGUCGCUGGUCAUUUCAGAGUGACUGAACCUCCCCUCUAACAGAUCCCGGGAAUUGUUUUCAGGAAAGGUAAAAGGCAGCCUUUUCUGUCACAACACAACGCUGAGCCGGCAGCCUGGCUCUGUCAGGAUCUGGGGCUCCCGCGCCCGAGAAGCCCAGCCUCGCCGGCGGCCAAGUUCACCGCGAGGCCCCGCGCUGCCUGCGCUGCGCUCCCGGACCCGCACCGACCGCAGCGCGCGCCGCCGGUGCUUCUCCCACCCCAGCCUGGAAGCUGCCUCCCUCCGCCUAUGCCUGCAGGAUAAGAAGCCCGAGGAGGCGGAGCAUGGAACUCGACAGUUAAAACAUUUAAGAGAGAAAACCUAGUGUCUUGCUGGCCUGAAAUCGAGUACGCAGCCCGGGGUGAUCAGGGUCUCCCGGCCCGGAUGUGUGAGACUUGCUUCCCCUGGGCAAUAGGCGAUACGAUGCUUUAGGAGGAAGGUGUCUCUCCCUCCUAAGCCCCGGAGGGGAGAACUUCCAAAGACAGAAAACCACAGGCUUCCUGGCACAGAGCUUUCCCUUUAUCAGCUAAAGCAGAAUCUUUUCUGGCCUUAACCUGGCCCCUUCCUCUAACUGCAGGCAGAGAGGCAGACAGAAAAGCACUUGCUGAAACACAAAGUUUUGUUCUGUCCUCAACGAACUGUCUAGAGCUGAUUGCUGAUAGUCGUGGUGCAUUAUGCCUUCCUGGUUUUCAUUUAAUUGGGCACCACGCUGCCUUUCAAGACGCCUUAAAGGAACCAACAACCAAAUCCAAGAGAGCUGGACAGACCAUUGAACACACAGUAGGCUGUGUCUCGUGGCUUUCGUUGUCUGGUGCCUCAAAGAAAACACCAGAAAGAUUGUUUCUAAGCUAGAGCCACCCCAGAUUGCUUAAAGUGCAAAGCUCACUGCUGUUGGGGGUACCCUUGUGAGACACUGGAAAGCUGGUUUUACCGUGGCCCUAUGAAGAGGAAGACUGAAAUUUAGACAGUAAUACCUUUACUAGGAUUGGAAAAGAUUUGGUUAAUGACAGCCCUGUCAUUUCUAAAACCCAUUAUCACUGUAUGAGAGAUUCCUUUGCGCUGCAUCCUCGACAGUGCUUCCUAAGGCUCUGCCGACUUCCAGUUCUGGAACAAGAUGGUUAAACUCAUUUUUCCCUGCUCUGCUCCUCUAAAUACAACUAAGUACCUUGGAAACUAUUCAGCAGACAAUGAUAAAGGGCUCUGAAAGCUAGAAGAAAAGGUGUACUUGCAAGAAACCUCAGGACUUGAGUAACAGCAACAUGCUCACCAAGCUCCUGUAUCUACUGGAAAAUGGAAGUCCAGCCUUACCAACUUGUGAACCUUGUCUGAAGGGAGCCAGGGCCUGCCAAUGGAACCACCUCCAGGAGCUGCAACUGCUGUUGUCAUUAAUACCAUUGUGUCUAUUUUUUGAGAGAGAUAAACUUUUCAUGGUGUUACAUUUUGGAAAAAAAAAAAAAAGACUAGGUGAACAGUCAGGUAGGAAAGCAGCAUAACAGUCCCUUAAAUUCUGAUCAUGUAGGACAUUCUUCUUUGCCCUGGGCCUGGGAAAAUGCAGCAUGUUCCAGAGCAAAAGUCCUAAUGAGGGGAACUAAACCAGUGGGACCCAAACCAAUGUCCUGGCUCACUGAGGACCCGUUAGAACCAAAUCUCUGGGUGUGGACAGGCUCCCAUACUUUUCAAAAAUUCCCCUGAUGACUAAUGAACAACCAGAGGUAAGAACCAGUGGCCCAGAGGAAUAACCAGCCCAGCUGUUGUACGAGCUCGCUAAGCUGGCUCAGGUCAAUGUUGAAUUCUCUGCUAGGCAGCUCCUCAUAAGAACUGGCAGAGAUGGUUCUUACACAACAACAGGUGACAACUCCAGACUCUGCCGGAAGUUCCAGGAUCUGGGUUCCCGGACAAUGCAUGACACUCAGUCCAGCAUUGCAGGUGGAAGAGCGACGGUGAAAAGACCAAAGUCAAUUAAAAUGUGUUAACCAAAACAGGAAACAUGAGUGAGGUGAUUGAGAGUGUGUUUAACUUAGAUGUGUGAUUUUAUCAAUACUUUCAUUGUUCAAAAACUCUUAUUUUUUAAAGAUAUUUUCAAAACAAAUCCAAACUUUACUUUUCAUUCCAAA